CAGCCGCCACGGGAAUACAGAGGGUGCGAGCGUUAAUCGGAUUUACUGGGCGUAAAGCGUGCGUAGGCGGCUUCUUAAGUCGGAUGUGAAAUCCCUGAGCUUAACUUAGGAAUUGCAUUCGAUACUGGGAAGCUAGAGUAUGGGAGAGGAUGUUAGAAUUCCAGGUGUAGCGGUGAAAUGCGUAGAGAUCUGGAGGAAUACCGAUGGCGAAGGCAGCCAUCUGGCCUAAUACUGACGCUGAGGUACGAAAGCAUGGGGAGCAAACAGGAUUAGAGACCCCUGUAGUCCCUGUCUCUUAUAA
Molecule: ribosomal RNA, 301 nt
Filed under: uncultured bacterium
Lineage: Bacteria
Description: partial 16S ribosomal RNA
Rfam family: Bacterial small subunit ribosomal RNA
Source: RNAcentral